GGGGGUGUCCUGGUUUCGACAGGGGAUCUGCUGGAUUAGACGGGCGUGUCGAGGUUGAUCACCCGGCCUCGUAAAAAGGUGAUUAAAAUGUAUAAUUGGCGAAAGUAAUUUUGCUAUGGCUGCCUAGUUAAUUCUAUUGCAGCAUUGAGGGCCCGGUUACCAAGAA
This 166-nucleotide transfer-messenger RNA is filed under the name Bdellovibrionales bacterium RIFOXYA1_FULL_36_14. Its description in RNAcentral is "partial transfer-messenger RNA". It matches the Rfam family "transfer-messenger RNA", at positions 1 to 157 of the family's 374-position model. Rfam says of the family: Bacterial tmRNA, also known as 10Sa RNA or SsrA, is named for its dual tRNA and mRNA-like properties. Its role is to liberate the mRNA from a stalled ribosome. Lineage: Bacteria; Pseudomonadati; Bdellovibrionota; Bdellovibrionia; Bdellovibrionales. The record is from RNAcentral.